RNAcentral lists this unclassified non-coding RNA (420 nucleotides) under Hevea brasiliensis (rubber tree). Lineage: Eukaryota; Viridiplantae; Streptophyta; Magnoliopsida; Malpighiales; Euphorbiaceae. The record is from RNAcentral.
GGCUAUUAGAAGAGGGUUGGAAAAUGUUUGCUAAGGAGAAUGAUUUGCAAUUGGGAGAUUUGUUGAUUUUCAAACAUGAAGGAGACAUGGAAUUUGAAGUUUCCAUCUUUGAUUCAAGUCAUUGUGACAGAGAGUACGCAGAGUAUCUGCAAGAAGAAGAGGGCAAUUAUGUUGAUGCGACUUCAAAGAAAGUGGAAAAAGAUCUUAGGCAUAAAACGUCGGACAUGACUACUCCAAUAUCGCAAACACCAGCUUCAACAUCUGCUGAUGCCGACCCUCAUUUUAUAUCCACUAUCAGACGUUACACAUUCACAAAAGCUAUUUUGUAUUUUCCGAUGCGUUUUGUGAAAUCAAAUGGCUUGAUGAGUAGAAGUGAGAUGAUUCUUAUCGACGAAAAGCAGAGAUCAUGGUCAGUAUGGC